RNAcentral lists this long non-coding RNA (322 nucleotides) under Medicago truncatula (barrel medic). RNAcentral describes it as "long non-coding RNA (MTRU_LNC008859)". Lineage: Eukaryota; Viridiplantae; Streptophyta; Magnoliopsida; Fabales; Fabaceae. The record is from RNAcentral.
AUGUAAUCAUCAAAUCAUAAUCAUAAUUGAAGGAAAUUACAUUCAAUUUCACACUACCUUACAAGUUACAACAAUUAGGGUUUGUGGAGAGAGAUGGAGAUAGCUUUCUAAACUGAAGAAGGAGGAGAGUAAUUGCGGCGGCGGUGAUGGAUGGAGAAGGAGGAGAGUGAUCGCGGCUCACCGGCGGUAGUGGAUCGAUUUGCUUUGGUUGGGAGAAGAAAAGGAUCGCGUUUCUCACUUGUUCUCAGAUGAAAGAGAAACGGGAAGAGGAAAUGAAACUGAAUAGGAAAUAUUAGUACUAUAGAAGGAUAUUUUUGUAAUU